This 760-nucleotide ribosomal RNA is filed under the name Enterococcus faecalis. RNAcentral's name for it is "bacterial SSU rRNA". It matches the Rfam family "Bacterial small subunit ribosomal RNA", at positions 782 to 1533 of the family's 1533-position model. The record is from RNAcentral. Lineage: Bacteria; Bacillati; Bacillota; Bacilli; Lactobacillales; Enterococcaceae.
AUACCCUGGUAGUCCACGCCGUAAACGAUGAGUGCUAAGUGUUGGAGGGUUUCCGCCCUUCAGUGCUGCAGCAAACGCAUUAAGCACUCCGCCUGGGGAGUACGACCGCAAGGUUGAAACUCAAAGGAAUUGACGGGGGCCCGCACAAGCGGUGGAGCAUGUGGUUUAAUUCGAAGCAACGCGAAGAACCUUACCAGGUCUUGACAUCCUUUGACCACUCUAGAGAUAGAGCUUUCCCUUCGGGGACAAAGUGACAGGUGGUGCAUGGUUGUCGUCAGCUCGUGUCGUGAGAUGUUGGGUUAAGUCCCGCAACGAGCGCAACCCUUAUUGUUAGUUGCCAUCAUUUAGUUGGGCACUCUAGCGAGACUGCCGGUGACAAACCGGAGGAAGGUGGGGAUGACGUCAAAUCAUCAUGCCCCUUAUGACCUGGGCUACACACGUGCUACAAUGGGAAGUACAACGAGUCGCUAGACCGCGAGGUCAUGCAAAUCUCUUAAAGCUUCUCUCAGUUCGGAUUGCAGGCUGCAACUCGCCUGCAUGAAGCCGGAAUCGCUAGUAAUCGCGGAUCAGCACGCCGCGGUGAAUACGUUCCCGGGCCUUGUACACACCGCCCGUCACACCACGAGAGUUUGUAACACCCGAAGUCGGUGAGGUAACCUUUUUGGAGCCAGCCGCCUAAGGUGGGAUAGAUGAUUGGGGUGAAGUCGUAACAAGGUAGCCGUAUCGGAAGGUGCGGCUGGAUCACCUCCUUUCUAAGGAA